UCUUUGGAAGUAAACAUGUUAUACAAUUUGGUUGGUGAAUCAGGAAUACAGAGAUGAACCUUUCCAUCAGAGCAAUAGAAGUCUUUACUCUCUAUAAAAUUUUAUUGCACCACAAUAUUUACAGCUAUUGCAUGUCAAUAAUAUAUAUGAAGUUGGUGGUAUGUUCAGUACAUUAAAAUUAAUUCGUAAUGCAGAAUUGGAAAUAUCAUGCGUCUCUUGAUUUGAAGUAGAAGCCUCAAAAUCAUGGUGCAUUAUAGAUUGCUGCAUUUUUUCAAUACUAGAAUUAUUAAUUUCAGAUGACAAGGGAUCAUUUAUCGUCUUGCGAUGAUGAUUGCAUCCAGUUCUAAGUCGAUUUCGCCUAUCCCUUUGCCUUCGGUUUUGUUGUUGGCGAUGGGACAUUGUUUCGAAAUUCAGAGAACCAGUCACUCCAUUAGAACAUGUUUUCGAAACAUCCAUGAAAACAAUUAGAUAACUUAUUGAAUAGUUGGAGCCCAAGGUAACCAACAGGAACUAAAAAAAUUGAAAAAAAGGCUAUUAGUACAUAUAUUACAUCACACAUAUGUGGAAAUUAAACUUUCAAGUAAACUAAAUCUGCCUAAAUAGAAUUGUUUAAAACAUUAACAUAUUCACAAUAUGUAAAAACAUGAUAACUAACAUAGCACAAAUUGCACUUUCUAAAACAUACAAAGUAUAAACAUCCAAACUAGCAAUAAGGAAAAGGUUAUCAUUAUGUUAUUUGCUAUUUCUAGUAUUUAAUUAUGCAGUUUAUUGACAGCCUAAAAGAUUAAAAAAAUGAGUUUGUAUAAUUUAAUACAAAAAUAUAAAAAUUAAUUUCUAGUUCAUAAUUUCUGAACCUAUAUGAAGCAUUUUCUGCGCGUUCUAAUGCUGCUAUGUGAUAAAGAAUUAAUUUCAUUAAAUAAAGACAGUUAUCAAACAACUAAAAUAAAAUUGUACAAAGCAGAAACAGAAGUAAUUAAUCUUUAUAAUCUAGGAACAUAUAGAGCUUGAAGUUUUAAAGGAAUGCUAAAUAACAAAGUCAGAUGAAAAGUGGAAGAUGUGAAUAUGUACCCUGAAUUGAACUUUUAUAUAGUUUUUGUAAAUUAUAUACAGGUGUUUGGGAGAUUUUUUAGUAUGUGCGGCACAAUUGUUAAGCCUACAAGAAAAGAAUGAAUUCAUAUGUUAGUACAUAUUGGAAAAACACAAAUGAAAAAUCAUCAUCCUUUUAGAAAUGUAGAAGUUAAGUAUAUGCUUUUGUUACGGUUAUACAGAAAAAAACAUAAAACCAAUUUUAACACAUGGAAAUGCCACAUAUAGUUUUUGAUUAACACUUAGAACUCCCAUCAUCAUUUUUACUGAAAGAAAGCGUUCUAAAUUUAAACCCAAAUAGAAUAAA
RNAcentral lists this long non-coding RNA (1393 nucleotides) under Olea europaea subsp. europaea. The record is from RNAcentral. Lineage: Eukaryota; Viridiplantae; Streptophyta; Magnoliopsida; Lamiales; Oleaceae.